RNAcentral lists this ribosomal RNA (253 nucleotides) under uncultured bacterium. RNAcentral describes it as "partial 16S ribosomal RNA". It matches the Rfam family "Bacterial small subunit ribosomal RNA", at positions 524 to 776 of the family's 1533-position model. The record is from RNAcentral.
UACGUAGGUGACAAGCGUUGUCCGGAUUUACUGGGCGUAAAGAGCGCGCAGGCGGUCGAUCAAGUCGAGUGUGAAAGCCCCCGGCUCAACUGGGGAGGGUCAUUCGAUACUGAUCGACUCGAAGGCAGGAGAGGGUAGUGGAAUUCCCGGUGUAGUGGUGAAAUGCGUAGAUAUUGGGAGGAACACCAGUGGCGAAGGCGGCUCACUGGACCGGAACUGACGCUGAGGCGCGAAAGCGUGGGGAGCAAACAGG